CGUUGAAACACUGGUUCUCGUACGAUCACCGAAGUUAAGCAACGUCGAGCCAGGUCAUUACCGAAAUGGGUGACCGCUUGGAAAUACCAGAUGCGGUAA
This 99-nucleotide ribosomal RNA is filed under the name Acanthosepion pharaonis. The record is from RNAcentral. Lineage: Eukaryota; Metazoa; Mollusca; Cephalopoda; Sepiida; Sepiidae.